Molecule: long non-coding RNA, 322 nt
Filed under: Ictidomys tridecemlineatus (thirteen-lined ground squirrel)
Lineage: Eukaryota; Metazoa; Chordata; Mammalia; Rodentia; Sciuridae
Description: lncRNA (ENSSTOG00000030684.1)
Source: RNAcentral
UAUGCAAUUGAUCCCCAAACCAACAGAGCCAUUGACAGAAAUGAACUUUUUAAAUUUUUGGAUGGCAAGCUGCUUGAUAUCAAUAAAGAUUUUCAACCAUAUUAUGGGGAAGGAGGGCGCAUUCUGCAGAUCCGGACUCCAGAGGCAGUGACCAGCAUUAAAAAGCGAGGAGAAAGUUUAGGAUACACAGAAGGGGCUCUGUUGGCUCUGGCCUUCAUCAUCAUCCUCUGCUGUAUUCCUGCCAUCUUGGUGGUCUUAGUCAGCUACAGACAGUAAGUAUUCAAGGACACUAAACAUGGAUUGUUCUUUGAAGACCUAUAGA